GCCUCGGUAGCUCAAAGGCAGAGCGUCUGCCUCGUAAGCAGAAGGUUGAGGGUUCGAAUCCCUCCCGGGGCU
This 72-nucleotide transfer RNA is filed under the name Candidatus Aenigmatarchaeota archaeon. Its description in RNAcentral is "tRNA-Thr". It matches the Rfam family "tRNA". Rfam says of the family: Transfer RNA (tRNA) molecules are approximately 80 nucleotides in length. Their secondary structure includes four short double-helical elements and three loops (D, anti-codon, and T loops). The record is from RNAcentral. Lineage: Archaea; Nanobdellati; Candidatus Aenigmatarchaeota.